GCAAUGGACGAAAGUCUGACGGAGCAACGCCGCGUGAGUGAUGAAGGCUUUCGGGUCGUAAAACUCUGUUGUUAGGGAAGAACAAGUGCUAGUUGAAUAAGCUGGCACCUUGACGGUACCUAACCAGAAAGCCACGGCUAACUACGUGCCAGCAGCCGCGGUAAUACGUAGGUGGCAAGCGUUAUCCGGAAUUAUUGGGCGUAAAGCGCGCGCAGGUGGUUUCUUAAGUCUGAUGUGAAAGCCCACGGCUCAACCGUGGAGGGUCAUUGGAAACUGGGAGACUUGAGUGCAGAAGAGGAAAGUGGAAUUCCAUGUGUAGCGGUGAAAUGCGUAGAGAUAUGGAGGAACACCAGUGGCGAAGGCGACUUUCUGGUCUGUAACUGACACUGAGGCGCGAAAGCGUGGGGAGCAAACAGGAUUAGAUACCCUGGUAGUCCACGCCGUAAACGAUGAGUGCUAAGUGUUAGAGGGUUUCCGCCCUUUAGUGCUGAAGUUAACGCAUUAAGCACUCCGCCUGGGGAGU
RNAcentral lists this ribosomal RNA (523 nucleotides) under uncultured bacterium. RNAcentral describes it as "bacterial SSU rRNA". It matches the Rfam family "Bacterial small subunit ribosomal RNA", at positions 368 to 881 of the family's 1533-position model. The record is from RNAcentral.